Molecule: ribosomal RNA, 235 nt
Filed under: uncultured bacterium
Lineage: Bacteria
Description: partial 16S ribosomal RNA
Rfam family: Bacterial small subunit ribosomal RNA
Source: RNAcentral
UGGCGGACGGGUGAGUAACGUCUGGGAAACUGCCUGAUGGAGGGGGAUAACUACUGGAAACGGUAGCUAAUACCGCAUAACGUCGCAAGACCAAAGAGGGGGACCUUCGGGCCUCUUGCCAUCGGAUGUGCCCAGAUGGGAUUAGCUAGUAGGUGGGGUAAAGGCUCACCUAGGCGACGAUCCCUAGCUGGUCUGAGAGGAUGACCAGCCACACUGGAACUGAGACACGGUCCAG